This 484-nucleotide ribosomal RNA is filed under the name uncultured bacterium. Its description in RNAcentral is "partial 16S ribosomal RNA". It matches the Rfam family "Bacterial small subunit ribosomal RNA", at positions 30 to 507 of the family's 1533-position model. The record is from RNAcentral.
AUUGAACGCUGGCGGCAGGCCUAACACAUGCAAGUCGAGCGGAUGAAGGGAGCUUGCUCCUGGUUUCGGCGGCGGACGGGUGAGUAAUGCAUAGGAAUCUGCCUGGUUGUGUGGGAUAACGUCCGGAAACGGGCGCUAAUACCGCAUACGUCCUGAGGGCGAACGUGGGGGAUCUUCGGAUCUCACGCUCUUAGAUGAGCCUAGGUCGGAUUAGCUAGUUGGUGGGGUAACGGCCUACCAAGGCGACGAUCCGUAACUGGUCUGAGAGGAUGAUCAGUCACACUGGAACUGAGACACGGUCCAGACUCCUACGGGAGGCAGCAGUGGGGAAUAUUGGACAAUGGGCGAAAGCCUGAUCCAGCCAUGCCGCGUGUGUGAAGAAGGUCUUCGGAUUGUAAAGCACUUUAAGUUGGGAGGAAGGGCAGUAAGUUAAUACCUUGCUGUUUUGACGGUACCAACAGAAUAAGCACCGGCUAACUUCGUG